GCCUAGUUAGCUCAGUUGGUAGAGCAUUCGGCUGUUAACCGACAGGUCGCAGGUUCGAGCCCUGCACUAGGCG
Transfer RNA from Spiroplasma eriocheiris, 73 nucleotides. It matches the Rfam family "tRNA". From Rfam's summary of the family: Transfer RNA (tRNA) molecules are approximately 80 nucleotides in length. Their secondary structure includes four short double-helical elements and three loops (D, anti-codon, and T loops). Further hydrogen bonds mediate the characteristic L-shaped molecular structure. tRNAs have two regions of fundamental functional importance: the anti-codon, which is responsible for specific mRNA codon recognition, and the 3' end, to which the tRNAs corresponding amino acid is attached (by aminoacyl-tRNA synthetases). tRNAs cope with the degeneracy of the genetic code in two manners: having more than one tRNA (with a specific anti-codon) for a particular amino acid; and 'wobble' base-pairing, i.e. permitting non-standard base-pairing at the 3rd anti-codon position. NCBI's taxonomy places the organism in Bacteria, Bacillati, Mycoplasmatota, Mollicutes, Entomoplasmatales, Spiroplasmataceae. The record is from Rfam.